Molecule: unclassified non-coding RNA, 383 nt
Filed under: soil metagenome
Description: partial contains 5.8S ribosomal RNA, internal transcribed spacer 2, and large subunit ribosomal RNA
Rfam family: 5.8S ribosomal RNA (bases 4-121)
Source: RNAcentral
GAUUGAAGAACGUAGCGAAAUGCGAUAAGUAAUGUGAAUUGCAGAAUUCAGUGAAUCAUCGAAUCUUUGAACGCACCUUGCACCCUUUGGCAUUCCGAAGGGUAUGCUCGUUUGAGUGUCAUUGUACUCUCACACUUCUGAUCCUUUGGAUUGGGAGCGGUGGACUUGGGUGUUGCUGCUUUACUGUGGCUCACCUCAAAUGCAUUCGUGCAACUCUUGGUUGGACAUAGUACGGCGUGAUAAGUAUCUUCGCCGGCACCUCGCAAGAGGGUGGCUGAUCAGGAGCUCUGUGCUUUCCAACUGUCUUCAGACAACAACUGACAACUUGACCUCAAAUCGAGUAGGACCACCCGCUGAACUUAAGCAUAUCAAUAAGCGGAGGA